GAUGAACGCUGGCGGCGUGCCUAAUACAUGCAAGUCGAGCGAACAGACGAGGAGCUUGCUCCUCUGACGUUAGCGGCGGACGGGUGAGUAACACGUGGAUAACCUACCUAUAAGACUGGGAUAACUUCGGGAAACCGGAGCUAAUACCGGAUAAUAUAUUGAACCGCAUGGUUCAAUAGUGAAAGACGGUUUUGCUGUCACUUAUAGAUGGAUCCGCGCCGCAUUAGCUAGUUGGUAAGGUAACGGCUUACCAAGGCGACGAUGCGUAGCCGACCGGAGAGGGUGAUCGGCCACACUGGAACUGAGACACGGUCCAGACUCCUACGGGAGGCAGCAGUAGGGAAUCUUCCGCAAUGGGCGAAAGCCUGACGGAGCAACGCCGCGUGAGUGAGGAAGGUCUUCGGGUCGUAAAACUCUGUUAUUAGGGAAGAACAAAUGUGUAAGUAACUAUGCACGUCUUGACGGUACCUAAUCAGAAAGCCACGGCUAACUACGUGC
Molecule: ribosomal RNA, 498 nt
Filed under: uncultured bacterium
Lineage: Bacteria
Description: partial 16S ribosomal RNA
Rfam family: Bacterial small subunit ribosomal RNA
Source: RNAcentral